Molecule: ribosomal RNA, 2931 nt
Filed under: Escherichia coli
Lineage: Bacteria; Pseudomonadati; Pseudomonadota; Gammaproteobacteria; Enterobacterales; Enterobacteriaceae
Description: 23S ribosomal RNA
Rfam family: Bacterial large subunit ribosomal RNA
Source: RNAcentral
GGGUUGUGAGGUUAAGCGACUAAGCGUACACGGUGGAUGCCCUGGCAGUCAGAGGCGAUGAAGGACGUGCUAAUCUGCGAUAAGCGUCGGUAAGGUGAUAUGAACCGUUAUAACCGGCGAUUUCCGAAUGGGGAAACCCAGUGUGUUUCGACACACUAUCAUUAACUGAAUCCAUAGGUUAAUGAGGCGAACCGGGGGAACUGAAACAUCUAAGUACCCCGAGGAAAAGAAAUCAACCGAGAUUCCCCCAGUAGCGGCGAGCGAACGGGGAGCAGCCCAGAGCCUGAAUCAGUGUGUGUGUUAGUGGAAGCGUCUGGAAAGGCGCGCGAUACAGGGUGACAGCCCCGUACACAAAAAUGCACAUGCUGUGAGCUCGAUGAGUAGGGCGGGACACGUGGUAUCCUGUCUGAAUAUGGGGGGACCAUCCUCCAAGGCUAAAUACUCCUGACUGACCGAUAGUGAACCAGUACCGUGAGGGAAAGGCGAAAAGAACCCCGGCGAGGGGAGUGAAAAAGAACCUGAAACCGUGUACGUACAAGCAGUGGGAGCCUCUUUUAUGGGGUGACUGCGUACCUUUUGUAUAAUGGGUCAGCGACUUAUAUUCUGUAGCAAGGUUAACCGAAUAGGGGAGCCGAAGGGAAACCGAGUCUUAACUGGGCGUUAAGUUGCAGGGUAUAGACCCGAAACCCGGUGAUCUAGCCAUGGGCAGGUUGAAGGUUGGGUAACACUAACUGGAGGACCGAACCGACUAAUGUUGAAAAAUUAGCGGAUGACUUGUGGCUGGGGGUGAAAGGCCAAUCAAACCGGGAGAUAGCUGGUUCUCCCCGAAAGCUAUUUAGGUAGCGCCUCGUGAAUUCAUCUCCGGGGGUAGAGCACUGUUUCGGCAAGGGGGUCAUCCCGACUUACCAACCCGAUGCAAACUGCGAAUACCGGAGAAUGUUAUCACGGGAGACACACGGCGGGUGCUAACGUCCGUCGUGAAGAGGGAAACAACCCAGACCGCCAGCUAAGGUCCCAAAGUCAUGGUUAAGUGGGAAACGAUGUGGGAAGGCCCAGACAGCCAGGAUGUUGGCUUAGAAGCAGCCAUCAUUUAAAGAAAGCGUAAUAGCUCACUGGUCGAGUCGGCCUGCGCGGAAGAUGUAACGGGGCUAAACCAUGCACCGAAGCUGCGGCAGCGACGCUUAUGCGUUGUUGGGUAGGGGAGCGUUCUGUAAGCCUGCGAAGGUGUGCUGUGAGGCAUGCUGGAGGUAUCAGAAGUGCGAAUGCUGACAUAAGUAACGAUAAAGCGGGUGAAAAGCCCGCUCGCCGGAAGACCAAGGGUUCCUGUCCAACGUUAAUCGGGGCAGGGUGAGUCGACCCCUAAGGCGAGGCCGAAAGGCGUAGUCGAUGGGAAACAGGUUAAUAUUCCUGUACUUGGUGUUACUGCGAAGGGGGGACGGAGAAGGCUAUGUUGGCCGGGCGACGGUUGUCCCGGUUUAAGCGUGUAGGCUGGUUUUCCAGGCAAAUCCGGAAAAUCAAGGCUGAGGCGUGAUGACGAGGCACUACGGUGCUGAAGCAACAAAUGCCCUGCUUCCAGGAAAAGCCUCUAAGCAUCAGGUAACAUCAAAUCGUACCCCAAACCGACACAGGUGGUCAGGUAGAGAAUACCAAGGCGCUUGAGAGAACUCGGGUGAAGGAACUAGGCAAAAUGGUGCCGUAACUUCGGGAGAAGGCACGCUGAUAUGUAGGUGAAGUCCCUCGCGGAUGGAGCUGAAAUCAGUCGAAGAUACCAGCUGGCUGCAACUGUUUAUUAAAAACACAGCACUGUGCAAACACGAAAGUGGACGUAUACGGUGUGACGCCUGCCCGGUGCCGGAAGGUUAAUUGAUGGGGUCAGCGCAAGCGAAGCUCUUGAUCGAAGCCCCGGUAAACGGCGGCCGUAACUAUAACGGUCCUAAGGUAGCGAAAUUCCUUGUCGGGUAAGUUCCGACCUGCACGAAUGGCGUAAUGAUGGCCAGGCUGUCUCCACCCGAGACUCAGUGAAAUUGAACUCGCUGUGAAGAUGCAGUGUACCCGCGGCAAGACGGAAAGACCCCGUGAACCUUUACUAUAGCUUGACACUGAACAUUGAGCCUUGAUGUGUAGGAUAGGUGGGAGGCUUUGAAGUGUGGACGCCAGUCUGCAUGGAGCCGACCUUGAAAUACCACCCUUUAAUGUUUGAUGUUCUAACGUUGACCCGUGAUCCGGGUUGCGGACAGUGUCUGGUGGGUAGUUUGACUGGGGCGGUCUCCUCCUAAAGAGUAACGGAGGAGCACGAAGGUUGGCUAAUCCUGGUCGGACAUCAGGAGGUUAGUGCAAUGGCAUAAGCCAGCUUGACUGCGAGCGUGACGGCGCGAGCAGGUGCGAAAGCAGGUCAUAGUGAUCCGGUGGUUCUGAAUGGAAGGGCCAUCGCUCAACGGAUAAAAGGUACUCCGGGGAUAACAGGCUGAUACCGCCCAAGAGUUCAUAUCGACGGCGGUGUUUGGCACCUCGAUGUCGGCUCAUCACAUCCUGGGGCUGAAGUAGGUCCCAAGGGUAUGGCUGUUCGCCAUUUAAAGUGGUACGCGAGCUGGGUUUAGAACGUCGUGAGACAGUUCGGUCCCUAUCUGCCGUGGGCGCUGGAGAACUGAGGGGGGCUGCUCCUAGUACGAGAGGACCGGAGUGGACGCAUCACUGGUGUUCGGGUUGUCAUGCCAAUGGCACUGCCCGGUAGCUAAAUGCGGAAGAGAUAAGUGCUGAAAGCAUCUAAGCACGAAACUUGCCCCGAGAUGAGUUCUCCCUGACCCUUUAAGGGUCCUGAAGGAACGUUGAAGACGACGACGUUGAUAGGCCGGGUGUGUAAGCGCAGCGAUGCGUUGAGCUAACCGGUACUAAUGAACCGUGAGGCUUAACCUUACAACGCCGAAGGUGUUU